CGACUCUCGACAACGGAUAUCUCGGCUCUCGCAUCGAUGAAGAACGUAGCUAAAUGCGAUACUUGGUGUGAAUUGCAGAAUCCCGUGAACCAUCGAGUCUUUGAACGCAAGUUGCGCCCGAAGCCAUUAGGCCGAGGGCACGUCUGCCUGGGCGUCACGCAUCGCGUCGCCCCC
RNAcentral lists this ribosomal RNA (174 nucleotides) under Lobelia cardinalis. RNAcentral describes it as "5.8S ribosomal RNA". The stretch from base 2 to 157 matches the Rfam family "5.8S ribosomal RNA". Rfam says of the family: 5.8S ribosomal RNA (5.8S rRNA) is a component of the large subunit of the eukaryotic ribosome. RNAcentral also lists the same sequence under 2 other names. The record is from RNAcentral. Lineage: Eukaryota; Viridiplantae; Streptophyta; Magnoliopsida; Asterales; Campanulaceae.